CGGCGAGUGAAGCGGCAACAGCUCAAAUUUGAAACCUGGCGCAAGCCCGGAUUGUAAUUUGUAGAGGAUGCUUCUGGGCAGCGGCCGUUCUAAGUUCCUUGGAACAGGACGUCAUAGAGGGUGAGAAUCCCGUAUGUGACCGGCGCGCACCCUUCACGUAGCUCCUUCGACGAGUCGAGUUGUUUGGGAAUGCAGCUCUAAAUGGGAGGUAAAUUUCUUCUAAAGCUAAAUAUUGGCCAGAGACCGAUAGCGCACAAGUAGAGUGAUCGAAAGAUGAAAAGCACUUUGGAAAGAGAGUUAAAAAGCACGUGAAAUUGUUGAAAGGGAAGCGCUUCCAACCAGACUCCGCGGCGGUGUUCCGCCGGUCUUCUGACCGGUCUACUCGCCGCCGUGGGGCCAACAUCGUCUGGGGCCGCUGGAUAAGACCGGAGGAAUGUAGCUCAUUGAGUGUUAUAGCCUCCGGUGAUGCGGCGCGUCCCGGGCGAGGUCCGCGCUUCGGCAAGGAUGUUGGCGUAAUGGUUGGCAGCGGCCCGUCUUGAAACACGGACCAAGGAGUCUAACAUCUAUGCGAGUGUUCGGGUGUCAAACCCCUACGCGUAAUGAAAGUGAACGGAGGUGGGAACCGCAAGGUGCACCAUCGACCGAUCCUGAUGUCCUCGGAUGGAUUUGAGUAAGAGCAUAGCUGUUGGGACCCGAAAGAUGGUGAACUAUGCCUGAAUAGGGUGAAGCCAGAGGAAACUCUGGUGGAGGCUCGCAGCGGUUCUG
This 765-nucleotide ribosomal RNA is filed under the name Zasmidium musae. RNAcentral describes it as "eukaryotic LSU rRNA". It matches the Rfam family "Eukaryotic large subunit ribosomal RNA", at positions 87 to 888 of the family's 3401-position model. Lineage: Eukaryota; Fungi; Ascomycota; Dothideomycetes; Mycosphaerellales; Mycosphaerellaceae. The record is from RNAcentral.